AACUUUUGGCAACGUAUCUCUUGGCUCUCGCAUCGAUGAAGAACGCAGCGAAAUGAGAUACGUAAUGUGAAUUGCAGAAUUCAGUGAAUCAUCGAAUCUUUGAACGCAUAUUGCGGUCUCUGGUAUUCCGGAGUGCAUGCUUGUUUGAGUAUCAGUAAACACCUCAAAGCCCUCUACUUGUUGGAGGUAUUGGGACUUGAGAAAUCCCAACUUUUCGAAAGAGAAGGCGGGUUGCUUGAAAUGCAGGUGCAGCUAGAUUCUUUCUUCUGAGCUAUAAGCAUACUUAUUUAAUCCCGUCAAACGGAUUAUUACUUUUGCUGCAGCUAACAUAAAGGUUGAAGAGUCGCUAUGGCUGACUGAUGCAGGAUUUAACAUGUCGCGCAAGCGAUCUGUAAACUCGAUCUCAAAUCAAGCAAGACUACCCGCUGAACUUAAGCAUAUCAAUAAGCGGAGGCU
RNAcentral lists this unclassified non-coding RNA (456 nucleotides) under uncultured Mortierella. RNAcentral's name for it is "sequence contains ITS2". The stretch from base 1 to 154 matches the Rfam family "5.8S ribosomal RNA". The record is from RNAcentral. Lineage: Eukaryota; Fungi; Mortierellomycota; Mortierellomycetes; Mortierellales; Mortierellaceae.